AGAGUUUGAUCCUGGCUCAGAGUGAACGCUGGCGGCGUGCCUAACACAUGCAAGUCGAACGAGAACGGGUAUUAGUUUACUAAUACUGUCAGCUAAGUGGCGCACGGGUGAGUAAUAUAUAGUUAACCUGCCUCAAAGAAGAGAAUAAUUGUUGGAAACGACUUGUAAUGCUCUAUAUGCCUUUAUCACAUAAGUGAGCAAGGGAAAUAUUUAUAGCUUUGAGAUGGGACUGUACGGUAUCAGUUUGUUGGUGAGGUAAUGGCUCACCAAGACUAUGACGCCUAACUGGUUUGAGAGGAUGAUCAGUCACACUGGAACUGAGACACGGUCCAGACUCCUACGGGAGGCAGCAGUGGGGAAUAUUGCACAAUGGAGGAAACUCUGAUGCAGCAACGCCGCGUGGAGGAUGACACAUUUCGGUGCGUAAACUCCUUUUAUUANGGAAGAUAAUGACGGUACCUAAUGAAUAAGCACCGGCUAACUCCGUGCCAGCAGCCGCGGUAAUACGGGGGGUGCAAGCGUUACUCGGAAUCACUGGGCGUAAAGAGCAUGUAGGCUGGUUUGUAAGUUGGAAGUGAAAUCCUAUGGCUUAACCAUAGAACUGCU
Molecule: ribosomal RNA, 606 nt
Filed under: uncultured bacterium
Lineage: Bacteria
Description: bacterial SSU rRNA
Rfam family: Bacterial small subunit ribosomal RNA
Source: RNAcentral